UAUUGAGCACUGACUGUAUACCCUGCAUGUGCUAAGUGCUUUACGUGCACUCUCGAAUUUAACAUUAGAAGUACUCACCAUGUCAGGAUUUUUCCACUUAUGUAUGUGGAGGUUGCAGUGAGCCAAGAUUGCACCACUGUACUCAAGUCUGGGCAACAGAGUGAGACCCUGUCUCAAAAAAAAAAAAAAAUUUAGAGAUGGGGGUGUUGCUAUGUUGCCCAGGUUGGACUCGAACUCUUGGACUCAAGCAUUCCUCCUGCCUCAGCCUCCUGAAUAGCUGGGACUAAAGGCAUAUGCCAUCACACCCAGCUGGUAAAAUCAACUUUCAAUAAGCAUGAAGGGUAGUGAUGAAGAGAUCAGGGCUAGAGCCAGAUGGCCUGAAUUCAAAUCCUGCUUUCUCCUCUCUAGCUGUGUAGUAGCUGUGGGCAAGUUACUUAAACUCUUUGAGCCUCUGAUUUCUCACCUGUCCAGGGCGGGUAUGAACAGGCCCACCUCACAGUGUUGCAAGGAUUCAGUGAGUUCGCAUGAAGUGAUUAGAAGUGAUUGGGGCUGGGUGCGGUGGCUCACGCCUGUAAUCCCAGAACUUUGGGAGGCUGAGGCAGGCAGAUCACUUGAGGCCGGGAGUUCGAGACCAGCCUGACCAACAUGGAGAAACCCUGUCUCUACUAAAAAUGCAAAAUUAGCCGGACGUGGUAGCACAUGCCUGUAAUCCCAGCUACUCGGGAGGCUGAGGCAGGAGAAUCGCUUGAACCUGGGAAGCGGAGGUUGCAGUGAGCCGAGAUUGCGCCAUUGCACUCCAGCCUGGGCAACAAGAGCAAAAAAAAAGAAGUGAUUGGGCUGACUGAGUCCACGCCACAUGAAGGGAUUAGAAGCGAUGCAUAGUGAAUGUGCAGAAAGUCCUCUCUUAAGGAUUAGGGUCAAGAAGAAAAAGAAAGGAAAGGGAAAGUGCUCACCAUUUGAGACCUGUCUGGAAAUUGCUGUACUUAGUGUAAAUUUCUUCUCAGCUUCAACAUCUUUGAUCGUGAUUUUAUCAGGAAAAUACUAAUAAAGCCACUGUUUUGUUCAACUUCUGAUACUUGCUUUUUGAAAAGAUAAUAAUACCUUUGCCUUUUUAAGGAUUCAGUGAAAAUGCUGUUCUUCAACUUCAUUUUGGGGUGCAGUAGGAUUCACUGCUUCACAUGCUCCUUGUGCACACAUUUGAGUGCCUACUGUAUGCAGGCACUACAGGGGAGACAGGGUGACCAGGACAAGUCUUCCAACCUCAAGAAGCUUCAAGUCUAUUGGGGUUGGGAUGGAGUAGUGGCACCACCCACCCCCCCCAUCACCAUAAGCAGGAGACACAAGCCAAGGAGGUUCUGUAUGGGAGGCCCACUGACACUGCUGGAGCUACUUAGUGGGGCACGCUCCAGGAAAGCUUCCCAGAGGAAGGGGCUUCCCAUCCCAGAGGUCUAAGACCUUAAAGCCCCACCAGGUAUUAGUUCAUAUCUCCAGCCUCUAACAUAUUCCUAGAGACAGAAUUGUUCAAGUGGGACUUGUAGAACUCAGCUGUGCCCCAGAACCUCCAAGAUGCCCCAGGCUGGAACCACACUGGCCUCUCCUCUCUGCCAAAGGCCCCUUCAAGGAUGAGGCCCAAAUCCACUAAAGGACUGUUUACCACCCAAUUAUAUUCCAGACCAGAGAGGCAAGCUGGCAGCCUGCAUGCCAAACCCAACAAAAAUAUGUGUUUUAGUGGCCCAUAGAGUAUUUCUUUGCACUGAAUUAUCACCAGGACUUAAAUCAACAUUUUAUCUAUUUAACCAACAUUAUCACCAACAUUUGUCACCAGGAGAGUUCAUGUAAAACUGCACAUUUCCAGCCUCUUUUGAAAGCUUCGGUGAGGCAGCCUCAGCCUAAAUUUGCCCGGGGCAGUGAUGGGGGCACUGAACAAGACUAUUCCUCACAGUCCAUCGGGAGCCGUGGAGGGUGCUAAGCAGAGGAGGAACAGGAUCCCUCUGGCUAUGUGUGGAAAAUGGACUGCAGGGAUGAGGGAGCCCAGCGGGGAGGUGAGGUGACUGCAACCAUCCAGGCAAGAAAGGAUGGUGGCCAGACCAGGUGGGAGCAGUGGGCAGUGGGUUUGAUUCUCGCACUGUUUUAAAUGAAGAGACUUCCUGGGGGUUAUACGCAAGGUGGUAAGGAUGACGCCAGGUCUCCUGUCCUAAGCCAUUGGAAAGAUGGGAUUGCCUAAAGCUAGGGAGGGAAACCACCAGUGGGCAGAGGAAACCAGGAUCCCAUGGUGAGUUCGAGAUGCCCCUCAGACACCCAGGUGGGAGCGUCAGGGAGGCAGCCUGUUGGGGGUCUGGAGUUCAGGGCUGAGGUGGGGGCUGGAGAGAGAGAUGAGGAGCGGCCAGUGUAGAGAUGGUGCUUAGUGCCCCAGGCCUCGGAGUGGGCACAACUAGGGAGAGGACCCGGGGCCACUCAACCUGGAGAGGUCACCUUCCGCCUGGGAAGCCCAGCAGGGCACAGGGCAGAGCUUCUGCCCUCCUUUCCUGGAGGGCCCGCUGACCCCUCCGGCGUCCCUUCCCCUCUCUCCCAGGGCCACUGUUCCCAGAUGUGCCACAACGUCUUCAUCGUGGAGUCGGUGUGCGUGGGCUGGUUCUCCCUGGAGUUCCUCCUGCGGCUCAUUCAGGCGCCCAGCAAGUUCGCCUUCCUGCGGAGCCCGCUGACGCUGAUCGACCUGGUGGCCAUCCUGCCCUACUACAUCACGCUGCUGGUGGACGGCGCCGCCGCAGGCCGUCGCAAGCCCGGCGCGGGCAACAGCUACCUGGACAAGGUGGGGCUGGUGCUGCGCGUGCUGCGGGCGCUGCGCAUCCUGUACGUGAUGCGCCUGGCGCGCCACUCCCUGGGGCUGCAGACGCUGGGGCUCACGGCCCGCCGCUGCACCCGCGAGUUCGGGCUCCUGCUGCUCUUCCUCUGCGUGGCCAUCGCCCUCUUCGCGCCCCUGCUCUACGUCAUCGAGAACGAGAUGGCCGACAGCCCCGAGUUCACCAGCAUCCCUGCCUGCUACUGGUGGGCUGUCAUCACCAUGACGACGGUGGGCUAUGGCGACAUGGUCCCCAGGAGCACCCCGGGCCAGGUAGUGGCCCUGAGCAGCAUCCUGAGCGGCAUCCUGCUCAUGGCCUUCCCAGUCACCUCCAUCUUCCACACCUUCUCCCGCUCCUACCUGGAGCUCAAGCAGGAGCAAGAGAGGGUGAUGUUCCGGAGGGCGCAGUUCCUCAUCAAAACCAAGUCGCAGCUGAGCGUGUCCCAGGACAGUGACAUCUUGUUCGGAAGUGCCUCCUCGGACACCAGAGACAAUAACUGAGCGCGGAGGACACGCCUGCCCUGCCUGCCAUCUGUGGCCCGAAGCCAUUGCCAUCCACUGCAGACGCCUGGAGAGGGACAGGCCGCUUCCGAGUGCAGUCCUGGCGCAGCACCGACUCCCACGCACCCGGGGAAGGACACCCUCACUCCCACACCCCGGGAAGAACACUAGAACAUCAGCAGAGGGGCCCUGCCCCUCCGCCUGCAGCCGUGAAAGGAAGCUGGGUCAUCAGCCCAGCCCCGCCCACCCCAGCCCCUAUGUGUGUUUCCCUCAAUAAGGAGAUGCCUUGUUCUUUUCACCAUGCAAAUAACAUGCCCAGCAAAAACUUGCUUUAUGGGUCUGCCUGGAGAAAAAAAAAAAAAAUACAAACAGCAGAAACAGC
This 3722-nucleotide long non-coding RNA is filed under the name Homo sapiens (human). Its description in RNAcentral is "non-protein coding lnc-DPM1-1:1". The record is from RNAcentral. Lineage: Eukaryota; Metazoa; Chordata; Mammalia; Primates; Hominidae.